This 397-nucleotide ribosomal RNA is filed under the name uncultured bacterium. RNAcentral's name for it is "bacterial SSU rRNA". It matches the Rfam family "Bacterial small subunit ribosomal RNA", at positions 28 to 429 of the family's 1533-position model. The record is from RNAcentral.
GUUGAACGCUGGCGGCAUGCCUUACACAUGCAAGUCGAACGGCAGCACGGACUUCGGUCUGGUGGCGAGUGGCGAACGGGUGAGUAAAGUAUCGGAACGUACCUUUCAGUGGGGGAUAACGUAGCGAAAGUUACGCUAAUACCGCAUAUUCUGUGAGCAGGAAAGCAGGGGAUCGCAAGACCUUGCGCUGAUUGAGCGGCCGAUAUCAGAUUAGCUAGUUGGUGGGGUAAAGGCCUACCAAGGCUACGAUCUGUAGCGGGUCUGAGAGGAUGAUCCGCCACACUGGAACUGAGACACGGUCCAGACUCCUACGGGAGGCAGCAGUGGGGAAUUUUGGACAAUGGGGGCAACCCUGAUCCAGCCAUGCCGCGUGAGUGAAGAAGGCCUCGGUUGUAAG